AGAACAGGUACCAAGUAACUUUACGCACCAAGGCUUAGGCAGAUGGGACGAAAUUACCCAUUGUCUUUUUGUCUCUACGCUCCGCAGGAUUUGAACCCUAGUGUCCACACCUAACCUAUCCCCAACCAAAAGAAGUUCUCAGACUUUAAAAGUGCAGGCAUUAUUGAAAUUCCAAAUAUCAAAAUACACAUAGCUAUGUUCCAUUUUCAGUUUUUUCUCACUAUUAACCUUUACAUCGAUAUUAGAAUGUCUUCUGAACUUUUUUCAAAACUUUAAUAGCCAAAGAAUAAUUAGGACACUAUGUUUAUAAAUGUACUGUAUGUUAUAGAAAUGAUAUACUCUAUUAGAGUGAAGAACUCCUUUAAUUGCUCCAUUCCAGGGGCUUUAGGCAACUCAUAAAGAACGAGAUCAAAGGAAAAAGGCAGCAAAUAAGCUAAUGAAUAUUUGGUUGUAACAAGUUAUGGAAACAAAACCUGUGCAGGCUGCUGAGCCACAUUUACAGCACGCAACUGGUCGUAACAAGUUAUGAAAACAAAACCUGUGC
RNAcentral lists this long non-coding RNA (544 nucleotides) under Nicotiana benthamiana. RNAcentral describes it as "long non-coding RNA (NBEN_LNC012297)". The record is from RNAcentral. Lineage: Eukaryota; Viridiplantae; Streptophyta; Magnoliopsida; Solanales; Solanaceae.